AAAGUUAAAAUAAAAUUAAAGGACGAGAAGACCCUAUAGAUCUUUAUUUUUGUUAUUUAUAAAUUAAAAAGAAUUUUAAAAUUUAUAAUUUAAUAAAAAAUUUUAUUGGGGUGAUAUUAAAAUUUAAAAAACUUUUAAAAUUUAUUAACAUAAAUAUAUGAAUAAAUGAUCCAGUUUUAUUGAUUAAAAAAUUAAGUUACCUUAGGGAUAACAGCGUAAUUUUUUUUUAGAGUUCUUAUCGACAAAAAAGA
Molecule: ribosomal RNA, 251 nt
Filed under: Culex tritaeniorhynchus
Lineage: Eukaryota; Metazoa; Arthropoda; Insecta; Diptera; Culicidae
Description: partial 16S ribosomal RNA
Source: RNAcentral